This 790-nucleotide ribosomal RNA is filed under the name uncultured Methanomethylovorans sp. RNAcentral's name for it is "bacterial SSU rRNA". It matches the Rfam family "Archaeal small subunit ribosomal RNA", at positions 66 to 858 of the family's 1478-position model. The record is from RNAcentral. Lineage: Archaea; Methanobacteriati; Methanobacteriota; Methanomicrobia; Methanosarcinales; Methanosarcinaceae.
UCUUCGUGAACAUGGCGUACUGCUCAGUAACACGUGGAUAACCUGCCCUUAGGUCUGGCAUAACCCCGGGAAACUGGGGAUAAUUCCGGAUAGAUUAUAGAUGCUGGAAUGCCCUGUAAUCCAAAGCUAUUGUGCCUAAGGAUGGGUCUGCGGUCUAUCAGGUUGUAGUGGGUGUAAUGUACCUACUAGCCUACGACGGAUACGGGUUGUGGGAGCAAGAGCCCGGAGAUGGAUUCUGAGACAUGAAUCCAGGCCCUACGGGGCGCAGCAGGCGCGAAAACUUUACAAUGCGGGAAACCGCGAUAAGGGGACACCGAGUGCCAGCAUCCUAUGUUGGCUGUCCAUAUGUAUAAAUCACAUGUGUUAGCAAGGGCCGGGCAAGACCGGUGCCAGCCGCCGCGGUAACACCGGCGGCCCGAGUGGUGGCCACUAUUAUUGGGUCUAAAGGGUCCGUAGCCGGUUUGGUCAGUCUUCCGGGAAAUCUGACGGCUCAACCGUUAGGCUUUCGGGGGAUACUACCAGGCUUGGGACCGGGAGAGGUAAGAGGUACUACGGGGGUAGGAGUGAAAUCUUGUAAUCCCUGUGGGACCACCAGUGGCGAAGGCGUCUUACCAGAACGGGUCCGACGGUGAGGGACGAAAGCUGGGGGCACGAACCGGAUUAGAUACCCGGGUAGUCCCAGCUGUAAACUAUGCUCGCUAGGUGUCAGGGACGGUGCGACCGUUUCUGGUGCCGCAGGGAAGCCGUGAAGCGAGCCACCUGGGAAGUACGGUCGCAAGGCUGAAACUUA